GACGAACGCUGGCGGCGUGCUUAACACAUGCAAGUCGAACGGAAAGGCCCUGCUUUUGUGGGGUGCUCGAGUGGCGAACGGGUGAGUAACACGUGAGUAACCUGCCCUUGACUUUGGGAUAACUUCAGGAAACUGGGGCUAAUACCGGAUAGGAGCUCCUGCUGCAUGGUGGGGGUUGGAAAGUUUCGGCGGUUGGGGAUGGACUCGCGGCUUAUCAGCUUGUUGGUGGGGUAGUGGCUUACCAAGGCUUUGACGGGUAGCCGGCCUGAGAGGGUGACCGGCCACAUUGGGACUGAGAUACGGCCCAGACUCCUACGGGAGGCAGCAGUGGGGAAUAUUGCACAAUGGGCGGAAGCCUGAUGCAGCAACGCCGCGUGCGGGAUGACGGCCUUCGGGGUGUAAACCGCUUUCGCCGGUGACGAAGCGUGAGUGACGGUAAUGGGUAAAGAAGCACCGGCUAACUACGUG
RNAcentral lists this ribosomal RNA (468 nucleotides) under uncultured bacterium. RNAcentral's name for it is "partial 16S ribosomal RNA". It matches the Rfam family "Bacterial small subunit ribosomal RNA", at positions 28 to 507 of the family's 1533-position model. The record is from RNAcentral.